This 979-nucleotide ribosomal RNA is filed under the name Bacillus cereus. RNAcentral describes it as "bacterial SSU rRNA". It matches the Rfam family "Bacterial small subunit ribosomal RNA", at positions 392 to 1524 of the family's 1533-position model. The record is from RNAcentral. Lineage: Bacteria; Bacillati; Bacillota; Bacilli; Caryophanales; Bacillaceae.
GCACGCCGCGUGAGUGAUGAAGGCUUUCGGGUCGUAAAACUCUGUUGUUAGGGAAGAACAAGUGCUAGUUGACAACCUGGAACCUUGACGGUACCUAACCAAAAAGCCACGGCUAACUACUUGCCACCAGCCGCGGUAAUACUUAGGUGGCAAGCGUUAUCCGGAAUUAUUGGGCGUAAAGCGCGCGCAGGUGGUUUCUUAAUGUGUGAUGUGAAAGCCCACGUCUCAACCGUGGAGGGUCAUUGGAAACUGGGAGACUUGAGUGCAGAAGAGAAAAGUGGAAUUCCAUGUGUAGCGGUGAAAUGCGUAGAGAUAUGGAGGAACACCAGUGGAGAAGGCGACUUUGUUGUCUGUAACUGACAGUGAGGCGAGAAAGCGUGGGGAGCAAACAGGAUUAGAUCCCCUGGUAGUCCACGCUGUAAACGAUGAGUGAUAAGUGUUAGAGGGUUUCCCCCCUUUAGUGCUGAAGUUAACGCAUUAAGCACUCCGCCUGGGGAGUACGGCCGCAAGGCUGAAACUCAAAGGAAUUGACGGGGGCCCGCACAAGCGGUGGCACCCUUGAUCUUAGUUGCCAUCAUUAAGUUGGAGCACUCUAAGGUGACUGCCGGUGACAAACCGGAGGAAGGUGGGGAUGACGUCAAAUCAUCAUGCCCCUUAUGACCUGGGCUACACACGUGCUACAAUGGACGGUACAAAGAGCUGCAAGACCGCGAGGUCGAGCUAAUCUCAUAAAACCGUUCUCAGUUCGGAUUGUAGGCUGCAACUCGCCUACAUGAAGCUGGAAUCGCUAGUAAUCGCGGAUCAGCAUGCCGCGGUGAAUACGUUCCCGGGCCUUGUACACACCGCCCGUCACACCACGAGAGUUUGUAACACCCGAAGUCGGUGGGGUAACCUUUUUGGAGCCAGCCGCCUAAGGUGGGACAGAUGAUUGGGGUGAAGUCGUAACAAGGUAGCCGUAUCGGAAGGUGCGGCUGGAUCC